AACGAACGCUGGCGGCAGGCUUAACACAUGCAAGUCGAACGCCCGUAGCAAUACGGGAGUGGCGGACGGGUGAGUAACGCGUGGGAACGUACCCUGAGGUACGGAAUAACCGAGGGAAACUUCGGCUAAUACCGUAUGAGCCCCGCAAGGGGGAAAGAUUUAUCGCCUUGGGAGCGGCCCGCGUCGGAUUAGCUAGUUGGUGGGGUAACGGCCUACCAAGGCUUCGAUCCGUAGCUGGUCUGAGAGGACGAUCAGCCACACUGGGAUGAGACACGGCCCAGACUCCUACGGGAGGCAGCAGUGGGGAAUCUUGCGCAAUGGGGGCAACCCUGACGCAGCCAUGCCGCGUGAACGAUGAAGGCCUUAGGGUUGUAAAGUUCUUUUACCCGUGACGAUGAUGACGGUAACGGGGGAAUAAGCUCCGGCUAACUUCGUG
Molecule: ribosomal RNA, 436 nt
Filed under: uncultured bacterium
Lineage: Bacteria
Description: bacterial SSU rRNA
Rfam family: Bacterial small subunit ribosomal RNA
Source: RNAcentral